Molecule: non-coding RNA, 64 nt
Organism: Caenorhabditis brenneri
Lineage: Eukaryota; Metazoa; Nematoda; Chromadorea; Rhabditida; Rhabditidae
Source: Rfam
UACAGAAGCAUAGAUUUUCACAUACCGAUCUGAAGAGUUUGUGCAAAUCUGUCGCAUCUGUAGG